RNAcentral lists this long non-coding RNA (2873 nucleotides) under Capsicum annuum. RNAcentral's name for it is "long non-coding RNA (CANN_LNC009528)". Lineage: Eukaryota; Viridiplantae; Streptophyta; Magnoliopsida; Solanales; Solanaceae. The record is from RNAcentral.
ACUAUUUCCAUUUUCUUUCCCUUUUAGCAAUCUAACAUGAAUACAGCUCCCCUACCUUGUGAAAAUCCACCAAAACCUCCCAAAGUAGAGCAAUCACCAAGUUUCAAAGCAAAACUAUUAGCCUAUGAAUUUACGGGGAUAUUUCCAUGAGGGAUCUUCAUGCUUUUUAGAGCUCCAUUAACGCAACAAAAAGCGUGGAGAAACUCUCCGAUGGUAUCGCAUCUAUUAACCUUUCUCAAGAAGAUAACAAAAGAAUGAUUAUAUGCUCUUUGUAAGUAUUCUCUUAUCAUCAAACUGAUUGGUAAAUGCAUCACCUACCAAUAUCUCUGUAUUAAACUGCAAUAGUUAUGAAAAAUCAUGGAUCAAGUUUCGCUUAUCGAUCUCGAAUCAGACUAUUACAUUCUCAAAUUUACCACUUUGAAAAACAUGAAUUUUGUCUUGAACAAUGGCCCGUGGUUUGUCUAUGGACACUAUCUUUCUAUCCAAAAAUGAGUUCCAAAUUUUAUUUCAGAAAAAGCAAUAUUAUCUUUUUUUGCUAACUGGAUUCGUUUUCCUCACCUCCCCACGGAGUACUAUGAUAGCAUCCUCCUUCAACUAGUAGGGAACUCCAUUGGAAAACUCCUAAAGGUCUGUUAGUUUUAAAUGGAUAAAUCGUAGACAACACGAUGAAGACACUGUCUAUUUUGCAGUACAAAAAAAUAAGCAGCAGAAUAUAUGAAACUAAAAUGAAAAAGAUGGCAGAGAGAUAAACCUCUGGAGUGUGUAUAAAAUUCUGUAGAAGAAGUUACAUAAGUAUCCUAAACAGAACAACUGGUAUAGAUCAUGGCCCUAUUUUAAAGUCAUGGUGCUAACACCAUGGUAACUACCUCCUAAAAUGACCGAAAAGAAAAAUACAGGAAACUAAAACUAGAUACUACAGUCCUAAAGCAACUAACUAAUAAGGUCGACGUGUGUACGAGUUCCACUUUACGUAAAAGAUAUGCUCGUUUAUGUAUCUAGGUGUGCUUCUAUAACCCGGUUCCUAACUGGAUUAUAAUUGGUCAACAGCAGCAAUACAUCAUAUAUGAAGUUGAAGGUGUCACACCCCUUUUUUUCACCAAAAAGAUUACUUUUAAGUUCGAAAAGAGUUUUUAUUAUUAAAAUGACAAAAUAAAGAUUUGUUUAAAAAAAAAGAUUAUUUUUACAUUCAAAUUCAGAGUCGCCACUUAGCAUAAUCGGGUGUGCCAAGUCACCUUUGAAAAUCCCUUUUCAAAAUUCUUUUUGACUCUUUAAAAUUGGUUUACGAACAGAGAUUUCUGUUAGGGAAUUCUGUUGACCGAGGGGAAGGUGUUAGGUACCCCUCAAUCCCGUGGUUUGACCACGGUCGCUUUGUGGAGUAUAUCGACUGGUACGACACUAUGAAUGUCUAAACCACAUAAAAUACACAAAAAAAUCAAUCAAACAAACAAACAAGUUCAAAAAUAUAAUGUCCCGUCCAAAUUAAACAGUCCCAAAAAUAGAAAAAUGCGGAAAAGUAAAUCCUAUUCUAAACUAAUCCUAGACUAAGCUCCAAUGCUUUACCCGAUGCCUCGGGCCUUCAUCACAAACCUCCUUUGCGUACAUGAGAUGUCGGGGCAUUCCUUGGUGAAUAAAUACAAUGUGACCUCAGGACAUUCCCCGGCGAAUGAAUACAUUUGAUGAAAUGUAAUAAAAGUAGAUGCCUCAUUCAACACAGACAUUCACACAUUCAAUGAUAUAGAAUACUAUGAGUUGACUACCCCAAAACCUAAAAUUUGGCUAUCAUGCUUUCGUCCUAAAACAUGAUCCUACUGAGCUCACAAAAUUGAUAUUUAUUUCGCAUUAAACAAAACAAUAAUAAAUCAAAAUUAAUCCAAAUUCACUUUUUCAUCAAGUUUUUGAUUUCCACCCCGAUUUUGUUAUCCAAUUACCAAUUUCAAUUAUCCAAUAAAAUAUUAUUUUCAUCUAUUGUACCAUUCAAGAUCAAUCAUUCAACUCAAACUCAUGUCAAGCAACAAAUCACCCCUAAAUAGAACAAACACAUCAAAAUACCUCCAUAAUCAUAUAAAAUUAAAGGAAUAGAGUUGAAGAUUGGACCUCAAUUUGAUGAUUUAUUUUCAAUUAAAUAUGGAGGAGCCUUUCAGAUUCAGAACCUUGAAUCAAACCUCAACAGUCAACAAACGAGACCGCAACUCGAAGAAAACACAAAACCAAUAAGAAACUUCCAAACGAAACCCAAUUUGCUGAUUUCAAACUAGGCUUAAAUGGCUUGUUGGAAUCAGGGCCGGAUUAUCGUUUCCAUCAUAUCAGAGCUGCGGCGGACCAGACAGUCCAUGAAAUAGGUCUUUCGCUGGAGAAAGACCGCAAAAAAGGGAAUAGCAAUUUUUGGGGUUGUGAAUGACCCAUUUCCGUAAGGGUAUUCCGAUUCUGGAAAAACAAACUUACCAGAAAAUAGUUGAAUCUGCCUAUUUUUUGUCACCCAAACCACUCACCUUUCUCUCUCUUAGUCUAUAUCUUCCUUCGGCUUCUCUGUAUGUGCGUAUGUGCGAUGGCAGUGUGUGUACGAGUUUGUUCGUGGAUGAAUCUGUGAGGAUGAGUGAUUCCCAUUGGAGAUGAGUUUAUGAGUGUGUGUAUUUAUGUGUGUGAAUUGAGUGUGUUUUGUGAAUUCUCGAUGGAGGAUGUUGUAUGAGUGCAUGUGUGUGAUGAAUUGUGAAGGGAAUCUGUGUUGUUGUUAUCUGAGUGAGUCUCGAUGGUGGUGAUAGAGUUUACAUUUUAAUGGUGUGUGUAUAUGUAUAUAAUACGUGUGAAUUCCGUUUAAUGGGAAAGAAAAUUUGCCUUUGAUUGAGGGGCGAGGUAGGGGUAUGUGGGUAAGAGGU